This 508-nucleotide ribosomal RNA is filed under the name uncultured Bacillota bacterium. RNAcentral describes it as "bacterial SSU rRNA". It matches the Rfam family "Bacterial small subunit ribosomal RNA", at positions 397 to 896 of the family's 1533-position model. Lineage: Bacteria; Bacillati; Bacillota. The record is from RNAcentral.
CCGCGUGAGCGAAGAAGGCCUUCGGGUCGUAAAGCUCUGUUGUUAGGGAAGAACAAGUACGAGAGUAACUGCUCGUACCUUGACGGUACCUAACCAGAAAGCCACGGCUAACUACGUGCCAGCAGCCGCGGUAAUACGUAGGUGGCAAGCGUUGUCCGGAAUUAUUGGGCGUAAAGCGCGCGCAGGCGGUCCUUUAAGUCUGAUGUGAAAGCCCACGGCUCAACCGUGGAGGGUCAUUGGAAACUGGGGGACUUGAGUGCAGAAGAGGAGAGUGGAAUUCCACGUGUAGCGGUGAAAUGCGUAGAGAUGUGGAGGAACACCAGUGGCGAAGGCGACUCUCUGGUCUGUAACUGACGCUGAGGCGCGAAAGCGUGGGGAGCAAACAGGAUUAGAUACCCUGGUAGUCCACGCCGUAAACGAUGAGUGCUAAGUGUUAGAGGGUUUCCGCCCUUUAGUGCUGCGGCCAACGCAUUAAGCACUCCGCCUGGGGAGUACGGCCGCAAGGCUG